Molecule: ribosomal RNA, 119 nt
Filed under: Pteropus alecto (black flying fox)
Lineage: Eukaryota; Metazoa; Chordata; Mammalia; Chiroptera; Pteropodidae
Source: RNAcentral
GUCUAUGGCCAUGCUACCCUGAACAAGCCCAAUCCCAUUUGAUCUUGGAAACUCAGCAGAGUCGAGCCUGGUUUGUACUUGGAUGGGAGACCACCUAGGAAGACCAGGUACUGUAGGCA